AUGCUCGCUUCAGCAGCACAUAAACUAAAGUUGGAAAGAUAUAGAGAAGAUAAGUAUGACCCCUGUGCAAGGAUGACAUGCAAUUCGUGAAGCAUUCCAUAUUUUU
Molecule: small nuclear RNA, 106 nt
Filed under: Tupaia belangeri (northern tree shrew)
Lineage: Eukaryota; Metazoa; Chordata; Mammalia; Scandentia; Tupaiidae
Source: RNAcentral